UACGGAGGGUGCGAGCGUUGUCCGGAAUCACUGGGCGUAAAGGGCGCGUAGGCGGCUUCUCAAGCGUGUGGUGAAAGGUCCGGGGCUCAACCCCGGAUCGGCCGUGCGGACUGGGGAGCUCGAGUUCUGUAGAGGCGGGUGGAAUUCCGGGUGUAGCGGUGGAAUGCGUAGAGAUCCGGAAGAACACCGGUGGCGAAGGCGGCCCGACUGG
This 211-nucleotide ribosomal RNA is filed under the name uncultured bacterium. RNAcentral describes it as "partial 16S ribosomal RNA". It matches the Rfam family "Bacterial small subunit ribosomal RNA", at positions 524 to 733 of the family's 1533-position model. The record is from RNAcentral.